Molecule: long non-coding RNA, 1029 nt
Organism: Epinephelus moara (kelp grouper)
Lineage: Eukaryota; Metazoa; Chordata; Actinopteri; Perciformes; Serranidae
Exons: 2
Source: RefSeq, a predicted model, not a curated record
GACAGAAAGGAAUCAGUCUUUAACAGGAAGUGGACCCAAAAAGGUCUCCAUCAGGUCCCAAAGACCAUCAGGUCCCAAAUCAGGACCAUCGGGUCCCAAAUUAAGACCAACAGGGCCCAAAUCAAGACCAUCAGGUCCCAGAGACCAUCAGGUCCCAAAUCAAGACCAUCAGGUCUCAAAUCAAGACCAUCAGGUCCCAGAGACCAUCAGGUCCCAGAGACCAUCAGGUCCCAAAUCAAGACCAUCAGGUCCCAAAUCAAGACCAUCAGGUCCCAGAGACCAUCAGGUCCCAAAUCAAGACCAUCAGGUCCCAAAUCAAGACCAUCGGGUUCCAAAUCAGGACCAUCAGGUCCCAAAUCAAGACCAACAGAGCCCAAAUCAAGACCAUGAGGUCCCAAAUCAAGACCAACAGGUCCCAAGCCGUGUCCAGCUGAUAACAAUGAUUUUAGACCUGUGGCCCUGACUUCAAUUGUUAUGAAAAGUUUUGAGAAAUACAUCGUCAAUUUGGCACUUGACCCAUACCAGUUUGCUUAUAGGCAGGGGAGAGGUACUGAUGACGCCAUCAACAGCAUCACCCACUUCACUGUCAAGCACUUGGAAUGCCCAAAAGCAUAUACACGGAUUUUAUUUAUUGAUUUUAGCUCAGCUUUUAAUACACUUCAACCCCAUCUGCUCAUCUCAAAACUAAGGCAGAUUAGUGUCAACCCUUUUUAGUCAAGUGGUAUUUUUCCUUUUUAACUAAUCGAAGUCAACAGGUAAGAGUCAAUAACACCCUCUCAGAAUGCAAAUUAAUCAGCACAGGUGCCCCGCAGGGUUGUGUCAGCUCCCCGGUCCUUUUUGCACUUUACACAAAUGAAUGUACAAACAGCCACCCAGGGAACCUUGUUUUUAAAUUUUCUGAUGAUACCGUCAUCCUCAGCCUACUGCACAAAGACUCAAGCCCUUCAGCCUAUUUUUCUGAAAUAGAAAACUUUGUGGAAUGGUGUGAUGCUCACCAUCUCAUUUAAAAAAAAAAAAAAAACAACUAAA